GUGUGUGUUGCGAUCAAACAGGAGAAGGGAAAAGAGGGUGUGAACCCUAAACCUCAAGAAAUCGUCAAAUUGGAAGGGGAAUCAAGGGCUUAUUGUAUGCAUGAACCAAGAAUGAUGAUCCCUUAAGCAUUUCUAACAUCAUGUAAGUCAAAUUUUAUGAUUUGGAAUCAUGUCGAGAUGGACUUAAGCGCUAAAAGCUAACGGGUCAAGCGGAGGCAAGGAAACGGAUACAAACACGGAUGCACAAGGUAAGUGACUUCCGACUCACUUCUUAGUAUACAUAUAGAAUUUUCUUGUCUAUGGAUGAUGGGAAAUUAUGUAUGGGAAUUAGGGGUGUGCAUGGGUCGGUUUUUACUAUUAACCAUAACCAUAACCGCUAGUUCGGUUAUGUAGUUUCGGUAACCAUAACCAUAACCAAACUUCGGUUAUGGUUAAUCGGUUAUGAAGUCGGUUAUGGGUCGGUUUUGGUUAAUUUCGGUUAAGUAACCAAGCAAGGUUUGAAAUAAAGAGGGUUGUGCACGAUUUGAACUUAUCUUGAGCCUAUUUUAUAAGAUAACGGAGACUAAACUUUUUGGUGAAACUCCCAAUUUAGGGUUCUUUUUAAUAAGGUAAUUCUCAAACAAAAACAAUUAUGGCCAUAACACCUUAGUUCUUUAUCAAAAUAAAUGGGCAUCUACAUCAAGAUCAUUUUGUUACUAACAUACUUUUAUCUUAGUAAAAACCCUCUAUAUGGUUUUGUAAAACACAAAUCCAUUAUAUAAAGUUAACAUCACAAGUUCGGUUCGGUUUCGGUUAUAUCGGUUAACCAAAGCUUCAUAACCAUAACCAUAACCGAUUGAGCGGUUAUACAAAGUUUCAUAACCAUAACCAUUGGUUAUAUUGGUUAUUGGUUAUUAGUGGUUCGAUUAUGUCGGUUAUGGUUCGGUUAUCGGUUAUGGUGGUUAAUUUGCUCACCCCUAAUGGGAAUGUAAUGAAUGAAGGUUUUAAGAUAAGUAUUGAACUAGUUAGACGAAGGUAGUUAUCUAAGUAGAAGGUAAUUUGGUGGGAUUAAACGGGUCGAAUAAAUAAGUAUAAGUAAGGUAACGGCAAUGAAAUCCGUAAUGAUUAAGGAUCCGGGGUAAGGAUUCUUAGUCUAAAAUGUAAGGAAUUGUUUUACGGACAUUUAGGAACAAGUUUCAAGUGAUUCAGACGCGAAAUGAACAAGUUAUGAGGAUUUUGUUAACAAAUUGGAAAGCUGAGCUGGGGACUACCGUAGCUUACGGUAGCCACCGUAAGCUACGGUAGGUGCUGGGUCUUUCCUUCUGCCGUUAGACAGUAGGAAGGCACCGUAAGGCUUCUGGGGCCACCGUAAGCUACGGUAGCUACCGUAGCUUACGGUGGAGGUCUGGUGCAAAAGUAUUGUUUAUGUAAUUCUUCGUUUUCUUCGAAUUCGGACUCCGGGAACCCAUUCCAAGCCUCGAUAAGUUUUUUUUAAUGCACCUCAACCCUACCAAAUGGCUUGGUAAGUUACGGGUAAGUAUGGAACUCAAUUUUAAGGUCCGAAACAUACCCGAAAGACACUUAAAAGAGUGUUUAUGACGUGUGAGUAAGAACGUGACGUGAGAGUGAGUAUGCGGGAAAUGAAUUAAGCAUAUGGGUGUGUAUGUAUAGGUUUAACUUCAUUCCAGUAGCUGUAACUAAUAAGUAAUCAUGAAUAGGAGUGAGUAUAUUUAUAAGAUUGUUCGUACAUGUCUUAUUUCAUGGUGCUAUGUAAUUAGGAUACGUUAGUAAAAUCAUGUGGAAUUAUGUAAGUUGUAUGUGAGAGCUUGUAUAUAUGUACGUAUGUAUGUGUGAGUGUAUUAUGUGACCAAAAGUACACAUACGGAUGUACGUAGGCACGAAGUAGUAUUGAUUGUACACGAAGGAAUGGGGCUUGUAUAUACGUAUACAUAGCUUCAAGAUGUUUGAGUACUAAGUUACUAAUCAUGUGCCUUGAGAAUGAAAUGAGAUUUGCAGGUAUACUAUUGAAGUCCAUUGUGAAGUUUUGAGGAAUUGGAAUGCAAGAUUGUACUCGGAAGGAUGAUCGAAAAGGCUUGCACGAAUAGAAAGAUUGCGGCGUGGUCAAUUAAUUACGUAUGAUAGAUUAUGAAUGUAGAUUAUCAAAUUUUAAGGAUCUGCAUGUUUGUGGUGAAUGUAGGUUACACGGACCAACAUCGGUAUAAAGUUUUGGAGAAUUGAAGAUCGAGUCAAGGGCAAGAAUUGUACGGGAAGAGUGGUCGCAUAUCUGGGGGUCGUAUAUGUAAUUGAUGUGAUAAUUAAGAAUAAACGUUGUAAAUCUUUUAAUAAAGUGUAGGU
This 2334-nucleotide long non-coding RNA is filed under the name Helianthus annuus (common sunflower). Its description in RNAcentral is "hypothetical non coding rna". Lineage: Eukaryota; Viridiplantae; Streptophyta; Magnoliopsida; Asterales; Asteraceae. The record is from RNAcentral.